AAAUGUAACGUUAAACGAGUUAGCAUUUUUGAGUUUUAUAAUCAAAAUCAUAAAAUUAUAACUCAAACCCCCCAAAAAAAAAAGAAAAAAAGAAAAGAAAAGAAGAAGCAGUUCUAGUUUGAAAAAUCUACUUUGAAUAAAAUAAUUCAUAAUUUUAAAAAAAUAAUUCAUAUCUGCAUGUUUCACCUUGUUCUCAUGGGUUAAAGAUUUUGUGUGGUUUAAUUUUGAGAAGUAUGGUGGAUAGAAAAAAUAUUUUUUUAAUAAUUGGAAAAAAUGAG
RNAcentral lists this long non-coding RNA (278 nucleotides) under Gossypium barbadense (sea-island cotton). RNAcentral's name for it is "long non-coding RNA (GBAR_LNC009539)". Lineage: Eukaryota; Viridiplantae; Streptophyta; Magnoliopsida; Malvales; Malvaceae. The record is from RNAcentral.